This 709-nucleotide long non-coding RNA is filed under the name Homo sapiens (human). Its description in RNAcentral is "HSALNT0045376". The record is from RNAcentral. Lineage: Eukaryota; Metazoa; Chordata; Mammalia; Primates; Hominidae.
CUCUUCUGCCACCAUGUGAAGAAGGUCCUUGCUUCCUCUUCAUCAUCUAUCAUGAUUGCAAGUUUAGGCCUCCUCAGCCACGUGCAACUUUUAUUUCACCCUGAAGCCAAAGAGAACUUUCUGAAAGACAAAUUUGCUCAUGCUAUAAUAGUUACUGACAAAUAUUUAAAGGACUAAGUUGUGUAAGGAAUCUACACUGUCAGGCAGAACCAGGAUUCCUGGAAGUAGAACUGGGCUGCUUCAUAAGUCUGACUUCAUAUGACAGCUAGAUUCAAAAGGAUGAAAUCAGUAGAGGUGAGACCUCUUGAUGCCUUGGCUUGGAAGUCACAUAUUCUAUUGGCCAAAGCAAAUCACAAGGCCACCACAAAUUCAAGGAGAUGAAGAAAUAGACUCUACCUCUCUUGAUUGGGUGAGUAGCAUUGUCACUUUCUAGGGUGGAAGAAAUUUUGGGCCAUAUUUAACCAUCUUCCACCUCUGGGAAAUAAGAAAGUUAAUAAACAUGGGUGCCAUAUAAUCAAUUACCACAAAUAAAUCAAAAUCCCAAGAAACCAGAAAAACACAAACAAUCCAUUCAACCAAAUUAAACAAUUUUUUUUUUUUUUUUUUUGGAAACGGAGUCUCGCUGUUGCCCAGGCUGGAAUGCAGUGGCGCAAUCUCAGCUCACUGCAACCUCCGCCUCCUGGGUUCAAGCAAUUCUCCUGCCUCAGCC